This 440-nucleotide ribosomal RNA is filed under the name uncultured bacterium. RNAcentral describes it as "partial 16S ribosomal RNA". It matches the Rfam family "Bacterial small subunit ribosomal RNA", at positions 338 to 795 of the family's 1533-position model. The record is from RNAcentral.
CCUACGGGUGGCAGCAGUGGGGAAUAUUGCACAAUGGGGGAAACCCUGAUGCAGCGACGCCGCGUGAGCGAUGACGUAUUUCGGUAUGUAAAGCUCUAUCAGCAGGGAAGAAAAUGACGGUACCUGACUAAGAAGCCCCGGCUAACUACGUGCCAGCAGCCGCGGUAAUACGUAGGGGGCAAGCGUUAUCCGGAUUUACUGGGUGUAAAGGGAGCGUAGGCGGCGGUGCAAGCCAGAUGUGAAAGCCCGGGGCUCAACCCCGGGACUGCAGUUGGAACUGUGCUGCUAGAGUGGCGGAGAGGCAGGCGGAAUUCCUGGUGUAGCGGUGAAAUGCGUAGAUAUUAGGAGGAACACCAGUGGCGAAGGCAGCCUGCUGGACGAUGACUGACGUUGAUGCUCGAAAGCGUGGGGAGCAAACAGGAUUAGAUACCCCAGUAGUC